Molecule: long non-coding RNA, 1484 nt
Filed under: Mus musculus (house mouse)
Lineage: Eukaryota; Metazoa; Chordata; Mammalia; Rodentia; Muridae
Description: long non-coding RNA chr10:122827254-122828738
Source: RNAcentral
GCAAUUUGUGUGAUACUUUCCCAGUUGUAGCAAUUUGUGUGAUACUUUCCCAGUUGUAACAAUUUGUGUUAUAUUUUUCUGCCUGCUUUGUCAAGAGCUGAACAAUUAGUUCUUACCUUGAAAAGCACACUCAAAGCAGGUGAAGACAACCCCUGCUCCCAGCACUGCCCGGCUCAUGUCGCCUGCCCCACCUGCCCCACCUCCACGCAGCGUUCAGUCCUGAUUCACUGGACCUAUGUACUGUGCCAUGCAGCAGGCAGCCAUGUUCUAUGGAAGAAGAUUGAGCCCUUAUAAUGUCUCUAUUCUCACAUAUAUCACAUGUGUAUGUGUUAUAUGCAUGUUACAUAUGUGUAACUAAUGUUACAUAUAACACAUAUAUGAUUGCAUAUAGCAUGCAUACAUAUAUUUAGCACAUGUGUAUGUAUGUGUGUGUAUACAUACAUAUACAUAUGUGUGUGUAUGUAUGUAUUUUAUAACAUAUAACACAUGUGUUAUGUAUAGUGUUACAUAUAGCCCACAUUGUUGCACGUGCUCUUUUUGACGUCUAUGGAGUCAGUAAUUGAAUGACUGGCCGGGCCUGAGCGUGGGUGAGUCUUUGUGCUUCCGCCGGUUUGUGCCUUCCUGACACUGGGGCAGCAGUUUGACUGACAGGCGCCCAGCAGGUGGUAGGGAGGGCUUGUCUGCCCAUCCCUCAUCACUUGUUUGGUUCAUGAAAGCAUAGCUUUAGCUACAUAGUUCUGAGGCCUUCUGAGUAACCCAAUGUGAGCACCACACACAGCCCAACGACCAACCUGUAUAAACACCCACCUGACCACCACCCAUGAUAGAAACUCUCUAGAGGGCUUCUCUGGGAAGCCAAACACUGGUGGGAAACACUGCUGGCACUCGAUCAGCUUUAAAACAGUGACUUUUGGCAUAGCGCUGAGCGGUGUAAUCAGGGCUAGAACUGUGGCUUAGUAUUACAACUGGGCCCACAGGGGAGCCCUUGCCUGCCUGCUUCUCUGGGCCAGUUCCUCUGACAGAAGCCACACCCAUUGCUUCAUACAACACUGCAGUCAGUCGUGGUCCCUAAAUUCCAGAGCCCUUGCUUUAUCAUGAGCUGUGGCUAAAAUUAAAGUGAGUAAUAUCCAUGGGUGUAGCAGCCUAUGGAGGAGAUGAUGACCAACACUCCUGAUUGCAUUGCAGUAAGCAUACCUUCACAACGUGCGUCUCUCCCGAUACACAGGAUGCACAUAUGCAUUGAGGGCCUUUUAGGGGAGUUCUCUAUCCCCUAUCUGGGGAUCUGCGAAGCUGGAGACAGGAGUAUCUCCACCUGGUAUUUACUUGCAGUGUACAGAGCUCUCUACCCUAACUACAGAAGCCCAAACUCAAGUGUUCAAGGUGGGACACUUUCUUAAAUUCUAAUAAGCUUACUUUUUUUUUAAUUUUAUAUGUGCUGUAUUUCUUAUAGAAAAUACAAAUAGGCAAAAGGAAAAAAAAAAAGG